Molecule: unclassified non-coding RNA, 253 nt
Filed under: uncultured Lysobacteraceae bacterium
Lineage: Bacteria; Pseudomonadati; Pseudomonadota; Gammaproteobacteria; Lysobacterales; Lysobacteraceae
Description: uncultured Xanthomonadaceae bacterium contains 16S-23S intergenic spacer region
Rfam family: Bacterial small subunit ribosomal RNA
Source: RNAcentral
UACGAAGGGUGCAAGCGUUACUCGGCAUUACUGGGCGUAAAGCGUGCGUAGGUGGUUUGUUAAGUCUGAUGUGAAAGCCCUGGGCUCAACCUGGGAAUUGCAUUGGAAACUGGCAGGCUAGAGUACGGUAGAGGGUAGUGGAAUUCCUGGUGUAGCAGUGAAAUGCGUAGAGAUCAGGAGGAACAUCCGUGGCGAAGGCGACUACCUGGACCAGUACUGACACUGAGGCACGAAAGCGUGGGGAGCAAACAGG